UUAUUUAACAAGUUUUUUAAAUAAAUAAGUUUUCCAUUGGAAUAUCGCUUGUUAAUAUUUAUCUGUUAUUAUAUAUACACACAUUUUGAGAUAUAGACUCUACAUGAUCUCUUGACCACUCUUUUUUCUUUAUUCAGCCAUUUCUCUCGCCAUUAUCAAGGGACACAACUCAACACCUUUGUGAAACCCUAAUUGAUACGAUGAGAAUCACACAUAACGUCAAGCUCUUACUCUUCUUUUUCCUCAUCUCUCUCCUCCUCACCGUAUCUGCUGGCGAGUCUAAGUGCGAGUGUUCACACGAAGAAGACGAAGGGAACAAAGCGGGAGCCAGGAAAUACAAGAUCGCUGCCAUACCUUCCGUUCUCGUCGCCGGAGUUAUUGGCGUUCUCUUUCCGUUGCUAGGAAACUUCUUUCCGUCGUUAAGACCGGAGACGAACUUCUUCUUCGUGACAAAAGCCUUCGCCGCAGGAGUAAUUUUGGCCACGGGGUUUAUGCACGUGCUGCCUGAAGGCUACGAGAAGCUUACGUCACCUUGUCUGAAAGGAGAAGCUUGGGAGUUUCCGUUCACUGGGUUCAUUGCGAUGGUCGCAGCGAUUUUAACCCUCUCCGUUGACUCUUUUGCCACGUCAUAUUUUCAUAGAUUGCAUAAUAAGACGUCUAAGAAGAUCGGUGAUGGUGAAGAGCAAAUCGGUGGCGGUGGUGGUGGAGACGUGCUCGGGUUGCACGUGCAUGCUCAUGGUCACGCGCACGGAAUUGUCGGUGUAGAUUCUGGUGAAUCCGAGGUUCAGCUUCACCGUACUCGAGUUGUGGCCCAGGUGUUGGAGGUGGGAAUAAUCGUACACUCAGUGGUAAUAGGAAUAUCACUGGGAGCAUCACAAAGUCCAGACACUGCCAAAGCUCUCUUUGCUGCUUUAAUGUUUCAUCAAUGCUUCGAAGGUCUUGGCCUUGGUGGUUGCAUCGCUCAGGGGAAAUUUAAUUGUAUGUCGAUAACAAUAAUGUCGAUAUUUUUUUCUGUAACGACACCAAUCGGAAUAGCAGUUGGAAUGGGAAUAGCAAGCUCUUAUAAUGAGUCGAGCCAGACGGCUCUGAUAGUUCAAGGAGUGCUUAAUGCUGCAUCCGCAGGGAUCCUCAUCUAUAUGUCUCUCGUAGAUUUUCUCGCAGCUGAUUUUAUGCACCCUAAGAUGCAAUCUAACACUGGGCUUCGAAUUAUGGCCCAUAUCUCUCUUCUUAUCGGUGCUGGAAUUAUGUCACUUUUAGCUAAAUGGGCUUAAAAUUAGCAACCAAAAAAAAAACCCAUUACGCUUAUAGUUUAUUGUUUGUUAAUACGAGAUGUUUCCUAAUAAAUAUCGAUUUAGAUUUCUGUACUUCUUUUACCAAAAAAUGCUGUUUUAUAGUGUUAAUGUAUAUUUGUAAACAAAAUUUCAGGUGUAGUCUGUUAGUUAAAAAGAUAAGGUAAUAAAGUGUAUUAAUAAAAUGUAUGAUAACCUUUUGCUUUAAUAGGGAAAACUUCUUAGAAUUUUUCUUUUGAUAAUAAUGUUAAAUUUAUUAGAAAAUCACUCCUUUUUUUGCCUAAAAGAAAAUUUUAAUUGAAAACGAAAGUAUAUAUCUUUAAACUGAGAAAAAUAAUCAUAUUUAAUGGAGUUUAUGUUCAAUUCUUCAAAGUUCAAAUUACCUUAUAAUAACUGACAGCUAGCUGAUUAGUUAGAUCAAAAGAUCAAACGAAAUUAAAUCUAUAUCAUACAUACAAUAAGUAAAAGGAGGAUAAUCUGAUCAAGGGGAGUGUCCACGUGGGCAUUUAUAAUCGACCAAUCAGGUUGUCUGUUUCUUCCAUGUCAUUUUCUAUUGAUGAAAUUGGGCUUCUGCAAUUUAUUGUUUGUUUUGGUUAAUGAGGUGAAGCCCAAUAUGGCAUGUACAUUAUUUAUGAACAACACAACACGCCGUUUUAGGGUUUGGCCUAUUCUUCGAUCUCCGACACCAAAACAGCUCGUCUGCGUUCUCAGACGAUUUCACCACCCUAGAAAUCAUCGACAUCUAGGGUUCAUCCCCUUCUUUGAGCUCUGAUCAGUUCAGCCGACAAUGGAGAUCCGGGAGGGUUCUGUGACGAAUCUCUGAAUCUAGAUGCCUUCGUAUCGUUUUGCUUGAGUGGUCCUAGAACCGUUACGGGAUGCAUUGAUUCAUUGUCAUUAACAACUGUCUUAACUUCUUUGACCCACUCAUCUUCCAUUUCUUCCAGACGGUGGUUCUUCAACUAUAAAUAGCAUCCGACCUUCAGUCCCAGUCCCACACAUCUUCUGACGAGCGUCAGUCUCUGUUCUACUUGCCGACUUGAACUUGAAGGCCGGCCAGUGUUCUUCCACCGAGGUGUGGUUGCUCAGAUUCUGGAAAGCCAAAAAACUUCAAACGCGAUGGGGAGUUGAUGGGAGUCUACAUGAUCUUCGUCGAUGUUAAGUUAACACUCAUGCCACCCACCUUGAAUGUCAACUGUUUCACCACCUUCCGAUACUGUCUCAACACAGAUCUAUAUGUGUCAAAGGAAUGAUUUCCAGAGGUAGGACUUGCUAUGCAACAGUUUUGACGAGCAAGCAACAGUUCACUGGAGAAGAAGAAAUAGGAGACUCGAGCACACAAGGCUCAGAUUAACGCUGCUGUCUUUGUAGCUGGUGUGGAUGCAUCUGUUACUGCUGUCGCAGGAGCAACCGUUGUGUCUUCCAGCUUUGGGAAGGAUGAGAAAAUGGCUAAGUCAGAAGUAGCAGUUGCCACGACCCUUGCGGAUGCUCUGUAUAUGCAGGCUGAUGAAGUGAUUGGAGCUAAGCGAGAGCAUUUGGCCUUACGAAGCAGAGAUUCACAGUCUAGGGGAAACCUUCAAGAAUGAAGAUUGUAGACAAUGAGAAGAGCGGAGAGUAACUUAUCAGAAACUCUAAAAGCGUUGUUGAAAGAUUUGAUACCAAUCUUGACAACUUGGACAUCAGUGACCUGUACAAUACUUGGAUCCGUAGCUGUUAUAUGUCUGAUUCUUUAAUUUUUCCCAUCAAAAGUUCUGAUUUUGUAUCUUACCUUUUGUCUAAUGAUCAAUUUUUUUGUAAUACAAUCAGCUUUGAUCAAUGGAUUGUACAUCAUCUUUCUCAUAGGUGUUUUGAUGAUUUAAUUUUUUUUGUUUAAACUAUAGCAUCUUCUUCUGCGUUUCAGAAGCUAAAACUAUGACCUUAUGUGAUUUAUUUAAGUUUUUACGUUUUUUUCAGUGGGUCUAUAUGAUGAAGGGAGAUUGAAUUUGGAGCUUGAGGUUUGACUGAUAAGUGUGCAUUGAACUUAGUUUUGAGGACCAAUCAGACACUGUUACACUUAUGUUCAAGGUCAUCAUCAAGAUAUCAGUAGGGAGAUGGAUCACAAAGGGAGACAAGUAAUCUGAAGUUUGGAAGCUUAGCGUAUGAUGAUAAGUUGUGACACCUAAAAUAGCAGGUUUGGUGGUCUAUCUCAAGAUUUUGUCUCAUUAAUUAUGAUUUCUAAUGUUUUUGUGGAUUUAGGUGAAGUGGUGAAAAGUCGAAGGCAAGGAAGAAACCAUGUCUUCUGCAAUUGUUCCAGCCAUAGAACGUGCAGUAACACCAGCUAUUGAAAAAACCAUGUCUUCUGCAACUACAGAGGGCUUCCAGGUUUGAAACUAAUGAGAAAUGGUAGAGGUGAUUUCUUUCUAUUGUUGAAAAAAUGCUAUUCUUUCUUAUAUAUAGAGUGGAGUUGGUGAUCAUUGUUCUUUUUUUUUUUUUUUUUUUUGCAUUUCUAAGUGUUUCACAACUAUUUAUGAAUUUAGGAUUCCACUGCUGUACUCAACUUCAACCUGCUACCAUCGAUCCACUUUCGACACCAAUACUUUUUACAAAAAAAGCAUUUGUAGUUUCUUUUGAUUGGUAUAGUCAUGAGCAUAGCUUCAUGUAUAGGUGGGCUUUUUCCAUUUUGUAUAAGGUUGUCUUCUAGAUUUGAACUCGAAUGGUCUUUUCAUAAUCAUGGUCUAUUUAUAAACUGCACAGACGAUAGCUAGGAGACAUGCAUCUUCUUUGAGUUUAAUUGAGAAGUGAAAAAGUGCAUCUUCUUUUAUUUUCUUAGCAAAUAUAAUAUUAAAAAUGUAAUCAUACUUAAGACCGCAAGGAUUUUCAGGAUCAUUAUAGCACUUUGAGGUGAGUUUUCCAAGGGUUGUAUAUGUACCUAAGUUAGAUAAAAUGUUGAUUCUGCAUGUUAUUUCACUAGGAAUACGAAUUUUGAACCGUGUGAUAUCAGAUCCGAUGAGCAUUCUCCUAAAGCCGCAUUGCAUCAAAUUAUGAUGGUGUCUCUGCAACUGUUUAACAUGUUUUACCAUUUUCUGUGUUUUAGGAGUUAAUGCUUCCUGUAUCGGUUAGUUCCAUGCUUGCUUGCAUAGAGAUUGCUUGCAUAGAGAUCAGAUGAGCACAGAUUCUUUGUGGCGGUUCUUGAUUUGAGCUUUGUUAUGGAUGGUAAAGGGUUAUUUGGACAGAACUGGCUAUGAAAUUCACAGCUGCUUGCUGUCGGAUACCAACAGCCUCUGUUAAUGUAACUUAAAUUAUAUCAGCAACCAUAGGACAUGGAGUGUUGUGCUUAUUAUGUUCUGUUCCGGACAGCUCUUGCAUGGAGAAUGCUCUACGGACAGCUCUUGCAUGGAGAUUGCUGUACGGACAUAUAUCCAAAACCAUUGUUGUUUUGUCCUUCGGAAAAACUCUGAUCCAGACGUUAAUAAGCUAAAUUCUAUCACAUUUACAAGUAAUUAGAUAAAAAACUUUACAAUCUUAGUUUCAUCAUGUUCGUUCAAAACGUGAGCUUAGUAACUGAAUUUUGUGUUAUUUAUAUAUUCCAGACGUCUAUUGAUCCAUCAGCGUAGACGGUUUCUGUUUGUUGCAGAUGGUAAUAGUUCUUAACCACUGGAAUUUACUUAAAGCCGUGACAUAACUAAGCUCUGGACUGCAGGACAAAGUAUUCAUCAAGUUGUUAAAGCUGAGAACUUUAGUUUAUUUGGUUCAAUUUGGUUUGCAUGGGUUUAUUAACAUGGAAUCCCUUCUCAGGAACUGAAUCAUGGAUAAUGCUGAGACCAGAUGUGAAUUCUGAUUUCUAUUCGGUUCAUGCGGAAUUGUGCAAGAAAAACAUUGGUACAAUGACGGUUAAUUUUCAAGUCAAUUACAAGGAAGCCGAAAAGAAGAACCAAUGCAGCUCCGUCUCCAAAGUAUUCUAUGUCCCAAAAUGUUUUUUUUGCAAGCUCUUUUGAGCAAAGACAUCUAUCUAUUUGUAUUUAAUUGAUAUAACAAAGUUGGUUAUGAAAAAUUUCAUCAAAAAAAAAAAAGUUGGUUAUGAAAUAAAAACUUCUGUAUUAUAUGGAAGAAAUCUCUAAGAAUAAAAUUCUCUCUUUACUAAAUAAAAAUAGAGAAACAUUAAAUAUAAAGUUAAUAUUAGAUAGUAUAUUAAACUUUGGAAACAAACCCAUAUGUUUAAAUCCAAAUAGAUCAAAAACUAAGUAUAACAAAUUCAAAACUAUAUUAUAAUUUGUUCCCAUGUAUUAUUUGUGUGAUCAAAUUUUAAUAUUUUAACUAAAAUGACCCAAAAUGUAUAUACAACUACCACUGAUAAAUUUGUAAAAUUUAUUAGCAUCAAAUAUAAAUUUGAAAAAAUAAAGAAUACAAAAUGAUUACAUUAAAAUAAUUAUAAAAAAAACUCAGUUUAUUUUCAUCGUAUUUGUUAUGUUAAUUGUGUUAUUUUACAUAUAGUUUAAAUAUGUUUUACAUGAACAUAAAUUCUAUGAUACAAUUGAAAAAAAUAAACCCAAAUUAAAAUUUGGAAAUAUUACACAAUAUUCAAUUUAAAUUGGUAACAAAUAAACUGUUCCAAAUUUAGUUAGAAAUAAUAUAUUACUAAAUUUUUAUAUAUAAAUAAAACAAAUUUAAAAUAUGUAAUCUGCGCGUAGCGCGAAAAAUGGCUCUAGUAAUAAUAGAUGAAUUGCUGUUCUCUUCUAAAACUGUACACGUCGACAAAAUUGAGUUAAGUGGGACCUGCAACUAUUCAAUUUUUCUUUACAAUUAAAUAAGAUGUAUAAUUAAUUUAUCGUAAUCCCUAAUUUUUUAUUUAUUAUAUUUCCUAUGUAUAUCUGAAACAGUGUAUUAUCUGUAACCGUUCACAUUCAAAUCUAUAAAUCUCUCUCUUCUCUCUGUUCUCUCACAUCUAUUUUUCACGGAGAAAGAGAGGAGACUAAACCUUUUGUGAAAUCUUUUAAUCUUUCAGAUCAGAUCUUUUUUUUUUCUGUUUUAGUUCUGGUCAAGCGAUCUAUGCUUGGUCGGAUUUUAUCUUUCGCUUAGCGAGUUUGUACUUUUUUUGUUGUCUGUUUCGAUUCAAACAGAACCGUUCUUCAAUGGUUUUUAUUUUUCUUUUGUUUGAGUCGAGAAAUAAAUUUCCAAUCUAUCAGAUUGGAUUCUCGGGUAGCUCUCUAAGCAUCACUUAACUCCAUCUGAUCUCUACUCAACUAGGUCGACCGAGUUUGAAGAGGGCAAUAUCGUGUUUGCUUUCCGUCAAUCCUGAGUGGGGCGGCGAAGUUCUUCCAAUUACCUUCACUGGAGCCGUGAACGCUCUCAUCACAGCCAGCUGUUGAAGGUUGAUGAUGAGCGAGGAAGGCGAUCAAAGAGAAGGUGCAUCCCUUUACAGGUGAAGAUUGGUGGGCCGGCAACAAAGCCAUGGUAAAUCGAGGAUCUACCGGCGAAGUUGUGUUAGCUUUUUCUCACCAGGCAGCAGCGCGUGGUCAAGAGGAUAACUGCAUGAACGAUGCGUGGCUGUUUGCCUAUCACUUAAGGCGGUGGCUUGGAGCGGUAUAUUGGACCUCCAUUUUUGGGCUUAGUAACUUUAAUUUCAUAGUUUGUAAGUGUGAGAUUUGGGCCAUUAUCAAUACUUGUAUAGUCAAUAGAUUGGAUCUCGGAAUCACCAACAAAACAUAUCCCUCAUUUUACGCAAUCAUUCAACUAAAAUUGAAUUAUAUACGUGGCUAAAUAUUAUUUUCUAUUUGUGAACAA
Brassica rapa (field mustard) is the source of this 7046-nucleotide RNA transcript. It is a transcript of the gene named zinc transporter 5, with no coding region annotated. Lineage: Eukaryota; Viridiplantae; Streptophyta; Magnoliopsida; Brassicales; Brassicaceae. The record is from RefSeq and is a predicted model, not a curated record.